Long non-coding RNA from Phyllostomus discolor (pale spear-nosed bat), 264 nucleotides. RefSeq lists it as uncharacterized. NCBI's taxonomy places the organism in Eukaryota, Metazoa, Chordata, Mammalia, Chiroptera, Phyllostomidae. The record is from RefSeq and is a predicted model, not a curated record. The transcript is spliced from 3 exons.
AAAUGUCAAUGGUCAGAUCAAGACAGCAUAAAGUAUGUAAAACAAAAUGGAGUCACUCAUGUCAACCAAGAUGGCUGUCAGUCAGCCAUGAUACUUUGGGAGAAACUACCUAAGGCAGAGCAGACACAUCUUGCAAGGAGAUAUACCUAAGAUAUCUACACAUGUGAUCAGAGUAACAGUGUCUGUAAAGCAAGACCACCCAUAGAUAGGUUCCUGGGAAAACUCCCCACUUGGCAUCAGCAGUGCCAACACACUUAUCAAGAG